This 393-nucleotide ribosomal RNA is filed under the name Clostridioides difficile. RNAcentral's name for it is "bacterial SSU rRNA". It matches the Rfam family "Bacterial small subunit ribosomal RNA", at positions 1 to 401 of the family's 1533-position model. Lineage: Bacteria; Bacillati; Bacillota; Clostridia; Peptostreptococcales; Peptostreptococcaceae. The record is from RNAcentral.
UUCUAUUUGAGAGUUUGAUCCUGGCUCAGGAUGAACGCUGGCGGCGUGCCUAACACAUGCAAGUUGAGCGAUUUACUUCGGUAAAGAGCGGCGGACGGGUGAGUAACGCGUGGGUAACCUACCCUGUACACACGGAUAACAUACCGAAAGGUAUGCUAAUACGGGAUAAUAUAUUUGAGAGGCAUCUCUUAAAUAUCAAAGGUGAGCCAGUACAGGAUGGACCCGCGUCUGAUUAGCUAGUUGGUAAGGUAACGGCUUACCAAGGCGACGAUCAGUAGCCGACCUGAGAGGGUGAUCGGCCACAUUGGAACUGAGACACGGUCCAAACUCCUACGGGAGGCAGCAGUGGGGAAUAUUGCACAAUGGGCGAAAGCCUGAUGCAGCAACGCCGCG